CAGGUGGGGACAGCUGCAGUGCCAAGGUCCUGCAUCAGCCCAGUAUCCCCCUCACUACCACCCACUCCAGCACAAGGGUGAAAUGCUGACACAAAUGUCCUCCCCAACAGGUCCAGGGUACCGGUGUCUCAUCAAGGCUUGUCUCAACAAGACAGCAACUGAAAAUCUCGACAUCUCAUCACAGGUUUUGAAGCCUGCUCAUCCUGACCAAGCCUUUCUGGAUCUCAUCAACAUGAAGGAACUCUCCUUAUGCCCUUCCAAGAUCUGUGCAAUACUUCUUGGAGUGACUUCCCGGUGAUGCCAACAGCUUUCCCUGGCACCCCCAAGCAGAUUAAGUGGAAGACCACAGCAGUUUGUGGCCUCCAGCCCUCUUCCUUUUCUCCUCAGCUGCCACCACUGUCCUGCUCCUCAGUGGUUCUGACUGGACUGUGCUUAAGCCAUGUCUCAACUGAGUAUCACCAGUGAGCUGAGGACCAAGGCCUGGCAAAGCAGGAAAAAAUACCAGCAUGGGUUUGCUAAGAGAUCAAGGUCUGCAAGGACUUGUCCCUGCCUAUCUAUGCAUUACAAUCAAAGAAUCCCAAAUAUGAGGUAUCAACAGCAGCCCUAUGGGCCUUGGGGAAAGGUAGGUGGUACCUUUGCUACAGAAAGGUCAGUGUUAAUCUUGUUAUGUC
RNAcentral lists this long non-coding RNA (671 nucleotides) under Parus major (Great Tit). Its description in RNAcentral is "lncRNA (ENSPMJG00000006979.1)". Lineage: Eukaryota; Metazoa; Chordata; Aves; Passeriformes; Paridae. The record is from RNAcentral.